Molecule: ribosomal RNA, 643 nt
Filed under: uncultured bacterium
Lineage: Bacteria
Description: bacterial SSU rRNA
Rfam family: Bacterial small subunit ribosomal RNA
Source: RNAcentral
CGAGCGAGCGCGGAUUUCUUCGGAUGAAGUGACUGAGCGGCGGACGGGUGAGUAACGCGUGGGUACCUGCCUCAUACAGGGGGAUAACAGUUGGAAACGGCUGCUAAUACCGCAUAAGACCGCAUGGUAAAAACUCCGGUGGUAUGAGAUGGACCCGCGUCUGAUUAGGUAGUUGGUGGGGUAACGGCCUACCAAGCCGACGAUCAGUAGCCGACCUGAGAGGGUGACCGGCCACAUUGGGACUGAGACACGGCCCAAACUCCUACGGGAGGCAGCAGUGGGGAAUAUUGCACAAUGGGGGAAACCCUGAUGCAGCGACGCCGCGUGAGCGAUGAAGUAUUUCGGUAUGUAAAGCUCUAUCAGCAGGGAAGAAAGUGACGGUGCCUGACUAAGAAGCCCCGGCUAACUACGUGCCAGCAGCCGCGGUAAUACGUAGGGGGCAAGCGUUAUCCGGAUUUACUGGGUGUAAAGGGAGCGUAGACGGCAUGGCAAGCCAGAUGUGAAAGCCCGGGGCUCAACCCCGGGACUGCAUUUGGAACUGUCAGGCUAGAGUGUCGGAGAGGAAAGCGGAAUUCCUAGUGUAGCGGUGAAAUGCGUAGAUAUUAGGAGGAACACCAGUGGCGAAGGCGGCUUUCUGGACGAU